RNAcentral lists this ribosomal RNA (506 nucleotides) under uncultured bacterium. RNAcentral's name for it is "partial 16S ribosomal RNA". It matches the Rfam family "Bacterial small subunit ribosomal RNA", at positions 29 to 523 of the family's 1533-position model. The record is from RNAcentral.
AGUGAACGCUGGCGGUAGGCCUAACACAUGCAAGUCGAACGGCAGCACAGGAGAGCUUGCUCUCUGGGUGGCGAGUGGCGGACGGGUGAGGAAUACAUCGGAAUCUACUCUGUCGUGGGGGAUAACGUAGGGAAACUUACGCUAAUACCGCAUACGACCUACGGGUGAAAGCAGGGGACCUUCUGGCCUUGCGCGAUUGAAUGAGCCGAUGUGGGAUUAGCUUGUUGGCGGGGUAAAGGCCCACCAAGGCGACGAUCCGUAGCUGGUCUGAGAGGAUGAUCAGCCACACUGGAACUGAGACACGGUCCAGACUCCUACGGGAGGCAGCAGUGGGGAAUAUUGGACAAUGGGCGCAAGCCUGAUCCAGCCAUACCGCGUGGGUGAAGAAGGCCUUCGGGUUGUAAAGCCCUUUUGUUGGGAAAGAAAUCCAGCUGGCUAAUACCCGGUUGGGAUGACGGUACCCAAAGAAUAAGCACCGGCUAACUUCGUGCCAGCCGCCGCGGUAA